AUGGACCCCCGCUCCGGCAGGCGUGGUUGUCAUGGGACCAGGGCACCUCGCGGUGCGCGGCUGGCACUCUUCACGCCCCCUGGCCGAGGACUCCGUGGUGGAGAAGUCCCUCAAGUCCCUCAAGGACAAGAACAAGAAGCUGGAGGAGGGCGGCCCCGUGUACAGCCCCCCGGCACAGGCGCUGCAGAGGAAGUCCAUCGGGCAGAAGGUCCUGGACGAGCUGAAGCACUACUACCACGGCUUCCGCCUGCUCUGGAUCGACACCAAGAUCGCCGCGCGCACGCUCUGGCGCAUCCUCAACGGCCACACCCUCACCCGCCGGGAGCGCAGGCAGGUAAUGGGGACACACCAGGCGGCCGCACCUGUGUCGGCGCGCCUGCUGCGUCUGGGAAGAAAGUCAGGAAGAUGCGGCAGAGUGAGCUCCCCGAGACCGGGCGGGCUCUGUGGGGCAGGGCUCUGCCUUUCCCUCGUGCCUUGAGGCCUGGCCUGGGCUGGCGUGUGUCCCUUUGUAAGUUUUUAUUUAUUUAUUUGCAAGGCAGAGCAACAGAGAGAGAGAGAAGGAGAGAGAGAGAGAGAGAGCUUCCAUCCUCUGGUGUACUCCCAGAUGGCAGCAGUGUGAAGUCUGGACCAGGCAGAGGCCAGGCACCAAGAACGCCACCCUGGUCUCCCACGUGGGCGGCGGGACGCGCUGCCCAACCCAAGUUGUCGUUCCCCGUUGCCUUCCCAGGCACUAGCAGGAAGCUGGAUUGGAAGCAGGGUCUCUCUGGGACUCAGAUAGGCACCUCCACCGGGGGCAGCAGUGAGCGCCACGUUGGACGAGGGUCCUGUGGCCCAGGCAGCCCGGCAGUGCCCUCCCCAGGAGCGCUUCCGGCCUCGUGGCUGCAUGCAGCCCUGCGCUGGGGCCUCUGCCCGGAGCUCCAGUUGCCACCCACACCCCGCAGUUUCUGCGGACUGUGCGUUUUCCUUCUUGUUAUUUUAAAGAUUUACUUAUCAGAAUGGCAGAGUUACAGGGAGGGAGGGAGAGAGUCAGAGGUCUUCCGUCUGCUGGUGCACUCCACAAAUGACUGCAACAGCCAAGUCUGGGCCAGGCCAAAGCCAGGAGCUUCCUCCAGGUCUCCCACGCAGGUGCAGGGGACCAAGCACUUGGGCCAUCCUCUGCUGCUUUCCCAGGCCACGGCAGGGAGCUGGAUUGGAAGUGGAGCCGCUGGAACUUGGUCCUGCACUCGUGGAAUGCCAGGGUCACAGGUGCUACCCGCUGUGCCACACUGGCAUGCACACUAA
Molecule: long non-coding RNA, 1281 nt
Filed under: Oryctolagus cuniculus (rabbit)
Lineage: Eukaryota; Metazoa; Chordata; Mammalia; Lagomorpha; Leporidae
Description: lncRNA (ENSOCUG00000030884.1)
Source: RNAcentral